GACGAACGCUGGCGGCGUGCUUAACACAUGCAAGUCGAACGGAAAGGCCCUGCUUUUGUGGGGUGCUCGAGUGGCGAACGGGUGAGUAACACGUGAGUAACCUGCCCUUGACUUUGGGAUAACUUCAGGAAACUGGGGCUAAUACCGGAUAGGAGCUCCUGCUGCAUGGUGGGGGUGGGAAAGUUUCGGCGGUUGGGGAUGUACUCGCGGCUUAUCAGCUUGUUGGUGGGGUAGUGGCUUACCAAGGCGUUGACGGGUAGCCGGCCUGAGAGGGUGACCGGCCACAUUGGGACUGAGAUACGGCCCAGACUCCUACGGGAGGCAGCAGUGGGGAAUAUUGCACAAUGGGCGGAAGCCUGAUGCAGCAACGCCGCGUGCGGGAUGACGGCCUUCGGGUUGUAAACCGCUUUCGCCUGUGACGAAGCGUGAGUGACGGUAAUGGGUAAAGAAGCACCGGCUAACUACGUG
Molecule: ribosomal RNA, 468 nt
Filed under: uncultured bacterium
Lineage: Bacteria
Description: partial 16S ribosomal RNA
Rfam family: Bacterial small subunit ribosomal RNA
Source: RNAcentral